Molecule: long non-coding RNA, 272 nt
Organism: Oncorhynchus masou masou (cherry salmon)
Lineage: Eukaryota; Metazoa; Chordata; Actinopteri; Salmoniformes; Salmonidae
Exons: 3
Source: RefSeq, a predicted model, not a curated record
GUGCAGGCCUUCACGCGUAUGGUCAAGGUCUGGAAGCAAGGCUGCCUAGGACAGCACUGGUGCAUGGGAUACGAGAGAAGGACGGCAUACUACACAGCAUAUAAACAAAUCUACAGACAAGACUUCCAGACCGUGUAUAAGUGCUGUCCUGGAUGGUCUCAACUCAACGGAGAGGCUGGCUGCUUGUAUCCUGUGUGUAGCUACGGCGUGUGCUUCAACGGGGGCCAGUGUCGGGAGAGCUCCCGCUCCAGCUCCCAGGUUUGUGACUGUCC